AUUGAACGCUGGCGGCAGGCCUAACACAUGCAAGUCGAACGAGUGGCGGACGGGGGAGUAAUGUAUGGGAAACUGCCCGAUGGAGGGGGAUAACUACUGGAAACGGUGGCUAAUACCGCAUACAAUCGGAUGAGCCAAUAUGGGAUUAGCUAGUAGGUGGGGUAACGGCUCACCAAGGCGACGAUCCCUAGCUGGUCUGAGAGGAUGACCAGCCACACUGGACAUGAGACACGGCCCAGACUCCUACGGGAGGCAGCAGUGGGGAAUAUUGCACAAUGGGCGCAAGCCUGAUGCAGCCAUGCCGCGUGUAUGAAGAAGGCCUUCGGGUUGUAAAGUACUUUCAGCGGGGAGGCGUUACCCGCAGAAGAAGCACCGGCUAACUCCGUGCCAGCAGCCGCGGUAAUUC
This 406-nucleotide ribosomal RNA is filed under the name uncultured bacterium. RNAcentral's name for it is "partial 16S ribosomal RNA". It matches the Rfam family "Bacterial small subunit ribosomal RNA", at positions 30 to 526 of the family's 1533-position model. The record is from RNAcentral.